This 52-nucleotide transfer RNA is filed under the name Elymus virginicus var. virginicus. RNAcentral describes it as "partial tRNA-His". The record is from RNAcentral. Lineage: Eukaryota; Viridiplantae; Streptophyta; Magnoliopsida; Poales; Poaceae.
GGCGGAUGUAGCCAAGUGGAUGCAAGGCCAAGGAUUGUGAAUCCACUAUGCG